Molecule: long non-coding RNA, 480 nt
Organism: Bubalus bubalis (water buffalo)
Lineage: Eukaryota; Metazoa; Chordata; Mammalia; Artiodactyla; Bovidae
Exons: 2
Source: RefSeq, a predicted model, not a curated record
CAGCCUCUGGCAAUCAAAGCCGACCACAGCCUCUGCUCUAACAUAUACCUGCAGUCUACCAAGUACCAGAACUAUGAGGAAAGACAGAGCAAUUAAAAACCAGCAAACAAAAAAACUCUGUAUAGAGAAAUGGCCCUUCUGUGUCUCAUUGAUAAGACACUGGCUACCUUAGUUUUUAGUUGGAGUCACUGCUGACUGUAGAAUGAAAUUCACUGUGUUCAUCUUGACUAAUAUCUUAGCCUUGAAUGCUCCUCACACCUUCUAAACUUUAAAAAAAAAUUCAUUAACUGAUUAACUGAAGAUUUUAGAAGAACCUCCAGAGCAAAUACAGGAAGAUCGGGGCACUACCUGGAGAAAGAUUCUGCAUCAGGGAGGCUUGGAAGGAAGAUAUUCAUCCUGCUCUUCUCCAUGAACUGACUGUUCAACUACUAACUCGCCACUGACUCUCCUAAAAUUAAAUAAAACCUUGUAGACUGGCAA